ACUUAGGAUAACUUAAACCAAGAGCCUUCAAAGCCCAAAAUAGGGGAUACCCCCUAGUUUCUGCACAAGACUUG
RNAcentral lists this transfer RNA (74 nucleotides) under Microlophus koepckeorum. Its description in RNAcentral is "tRNA-Trp". Lineage: Eukaryota; Metazoa; Chordata; Lepidosauria; Squamata; Tropiduridae. The record is from RNAcentral.